RNAcentral lists this unclassified non-coding RNA (315 nucleotides) under plant metagenome. RNAcentral's name for it is "partial contains 5.8S ribosomal RNA, internal transcribed spacer 2, and large subunit ribosomal RNA". The stretch from base 1 to 105 matches the Rfam family "5.8S ribosomal RNA", at positions 50 to 154 of the family's 154-position model. The record is from RNAcentral.
AAAAUGCGAUAAGUAAUGUGACUUGCAGAAUUCAGUGAAUCAUCGAAUCUUUGAACGCACAUUGCGCCCGCCAGUAUUCUGGCGGGCAUGCCUGUUCGAGCGUCAUUUCAACCCUCAAGCCCCCGGGUUUGGUGUUGGGGAUCGGGCUGCGGUUCUACCGCGUCCCGGCCCCGAAAUCUAGUGGCGGUCUCGCUGCAGCCUCCAUUGCGUAGUAGCUAACACCUCGCAACUGGAACGCGGCGCGGCCAAGCCGUUAAACCCCCAACUUCUGAAUGUUGACCUCGGAUCAGGUAGGAAUACCCGCUGAACUUAAGC